This 696-nucleotide ribosomal RNA is filed under the name Centella asiatica (Asiatic pennywort). Its description in RNAcentral is "eukaryotic LSU rRNA". The stretch from base 269 to 424 matches the Rfam family "5.8S ribosomal RNA". The record is from RNAcentral. Lineage: Eukaryota; Viridiplantae; Streptophyta; Magnoliopsida; Apiales; Apiaceae.
GUAACAGGUUUCGGUAGUGAACUUGGGAAGGAUCAUUGUCGAAACCUGCACCGCAGAACGACCCGCGAACACGUAAAGCAACACGGGGCGAGCGGCUCCCGGGGCGCAAGCCCCUCGCGCCGCGAACCCACGGACGGGGUCCUCCCUCGGGCGUCCCCCGUCCGGCUAACCAACCCCGGCGCGGCAAGCGCCAAGGAAUUAAAAACCGAACGAGGCCGUCUCUCCCCCGUUCGCGGGCGGCGGAGGCGUCUUGUCCUAAAAACAAAACGACUCUCGGCAACGGAUAUCUCGGCUCUCGCAUCGAUGAAGAACGUAGCGAAAUGCGAUACUUGGUGUGAAUUGCAGAAUCCCGUGAACCAUCGAGUCUUUGAACGCAAGUUGCGCCCGAAGCCACUCGGCCGAGGGCACGUCUGCCUGGGCGUCACGCAUCGCGUCGCCCCCCCCACCCGUCGGCCUCGAAAGGGGUCGGGGCGGAGGGGCGGAGAAUGGCCUCCCGUGCCUCGGGGCGCGGUUGGCCCAAACGUCAGCCCGCGGCGACGGACGUCACGACAAGUGGUGGUUUGACAAAGGCCCUCGCAUGUUGUCGUGCGGUGAUCCGUCGUCGGCGUGAGCUCGUGCGACCCUGUUGCCACGCCGUGCUCGGCGCGCGCUCCGACCGCGACCCCAGGUCAAGCGGGACUACCCGCUGAGUUUAAG